Molecule: ribosomal RNA, 1530 nt
Filed under: uncultured bacterium
Lineage: Bacteria
Description: bacterial SSU rRNA
Rfam family: Bacterial small subunit ribosomal RNA
Source: RNAcentral
AGAGUUUGAUCCUGGCUCAGAUUGAACGCUGGCGGCAUGCCCUACACAUGCAAGUCGAACGGCAGCGGGGACUUCGGUCCGCCGGCGAGUGGCGAACGGGUGAGUAAAGUAUCGGAACGUACCUUUCAGUGGGGGAUAACGUAGCGAAAGUUACGCUAAUACCGCAUAUUCUGUGAGCAGGAAAGCAGGGGAUCGCAAGACCUUGCGCUGAUUGAGCGGCCGAUAUCAGAUUAGCUAGUUGGUGGGGUAAAGGCCUACCAAGGCGACGAUCUGUAGCGGGUCUGAGAGGAUGAUCCGCCACACUGGAACUGAGACACGGUCCAGACUCCUACGGGAGGCAGCAGUGGGGAAUUUUGGACAAUGGGGGCAACCCUGAUCCAGCCAUGCCGCGUGAGUGAAGAAGGCCUUCGGGUUGUAAAGCUCUUUCGGCCGGGAAGAAAUCGCAUAGGUUAAUACCCUGUGUGGAUGACGGUACCGGAAUAAGAAGCACCGGCUAACUACGUGCCAGCAGCCGCGGUAAUACGUAGGGUGCGAGCGUUAAUCGGAAUUACUGGGCGUAAAGCGUGCGCAGGCGGUUUCGUAAGACAGAGGUGAAAUCCCCGGGCUCAACCUGGGAACUGCCUUUGUGACUGCGAAGCUAGAGUACGGCAGAGGGGGGUGGAAUUCCACGUGUAGCAGUGAAAUGCGUAGAGAUGUGGAGGAACACCGAUGGCGAAGGCAGCCCCCUGGGCCGAUACUGACGCUCAUGCACGAAAGCGUGGGUAGCAAACAGGAUUAGAUACCCUGGUAGUCCACGCCCUAAACGAUGUCAACUAGGUGUUGGGUGGGUAAAACCAUUUAGUACCGUAGCUAACGCGUGAAGUUGACCGCCUGGGGAGUACGGCCGCAAGGUUAAAACUCAAAGGAAUUGACGGGGACCCGCACAAGCGGUGGAUGAUGUGGAUUAAUUCGAUGCAACGCGAAAAACCUUACCUACCCUUGACAUGUUCAGAAUCCUGGAGAGAUUUGGGAGUGCCCGAAAGGGAGCUGGAACACAGGUGCUGCAUGGCUGUCGUCAGCUCGUGUCGUGAGAUGUUGGGUUAAGUCCCGCAACGAGCGCAACCCUUGUCGUUAAUUGCCAUCAUUUAGUUGGGCACUUUAACGAGACUGCCGGUGACAAACCGGAGGAAGGUGGGGAUGACGUCAAGUCCUCAUGGCCCUUACGGGUAGGGCUACACACGUGCUACAAUGGCCGGUACAGAGGGCAGCGAAGGGGCGACCUGGAGCCAAUCUUGUAAAGCUGGUCGUAGUCCGGAUUGGAGUCUGCAACUCGACUCCAUGAAGUCGGAAUCGCUAGUAAUCGCGAAUCAGCAUGUCGCGGUGAAUACGUUCCCGGGCCUUGUACACACCGCCCGUCACACCAUGGGAGUGGGUUGCACCAGAAGUAGAUAGUCUAACCUUCGGGGGGACGUUUACCACGGUGUGAUUCAUGACUGGGGUGAAGUCGUAACAAGGUAGCCGUAGGGGAACCUGCGGCUGGAUCACCUCCUU